Molecule: ribosomal RNA, 446 nt
Filed under: uncultured bacterium
Lineage: Bacteria
Description: partial 16S ribosomal RNA
Rfam family: Bacterial small subunit ribosomal RNA
Source: RNAcentral
CCUACGGGUGGCAGCAGUCGAGAAUCAUUCACAAUGGGGGAAACCCUGAUGGUGCGACGCCGCGUGGGGGAAUGAAGGUCUUCGGAUUGUAAACCUCUGUCAUGUGGGAGCAAAUUAAAAAGAUAGUACCACAAGAGGAAGAGACGGCUAACUCUGUGCCAGCAGCCGCGGGAAUACAGAGGUCGUAAGCGUUGUUCGGAAUCACUGGGCGUAAAGCGUGCGGAGGCUGUUUCGUAAGGCGUGUGUGAAAGGCGCGGGCUCAACCCGCGGACGGCACCUGAUACUGCGAGACUAGAGUAGUAGAGGGGGAUGCGGAAUGCGCGGUGUAGCAGUGAAAUGCGUAGAUAUCGAGAAGAACUCUGGUGGCGAAGGCGGGUUCCUGGACAUUAACUGACGCUGAGGCACGAAGGCGAGGGGAGCGAAAAGGAUUAGAUACCCGGGUAGUC